UUGGUUGAAGAAAAUUAGUCAAGAAGCAGUUAAAAGCUGCAGACCUAAAGAUCAAGGCAUUGAACGAAUUUUGUGAAAGCUUCCACAGGUAAGUAGCUUUCGGAUUUUUAUUGUAGUUUAUAUUAUCUAGAUUUUAUGUAAGUUAGACUGAUUCAUGAGAGUUUAUAUAAGUUAGAAUGAUCCAUAAGAAUAACUUUCACUGUGCAUGUUCUAGCAUAAUGUAUAUUAUACAUAAUGAAUUCAAAUAACAAUUAAUAUUCGAGCAAAAAAGUAAACAGUGACUAAUAAUAAUAGGAAAUCAAAGAUAUAGCAGAGGAAGAAGACAACUAGAAGGGGAUGAGAUAAUAGACCAUAGAAGGAAGAUGAGAGAAUAACAAACUAAGUUAAAGCUUCAACAUAAUUUCCUUGUUCUUUUACAACAUCUGAUUCUCUUUUAAUAAAUCAAUUGCUCUUUUUUUACCCCAGAUCCCACAUAAAGGUACCCAAUAACGCAAACACGUAAAUGUGGUUUGAAACAAAUAGCGGAAUAAGUUUGAUUAUUAAUAAUUUUAGUACUUCAAUAAUAGAACUAGUAACUACUAGUUAUCUACUAAUUAUCCAAGUAUAAGUUAUCCACGCAAGUUACCCGCACCAUCCGCACCCCCCUACAAUUGGUAUCAGAGCUAUGUUAUUUAAAAAAUGUACAAGUAGAUAUGUGUUAAUCAUGGUAAAUGUUAGAAAUGUUAAUUUAGUUAAUUUAAUUGUUGAUUAUGAGACUAUUAUUAAUUAAGUUAUCUUGUUAGCUAUGUUGUUAUUUAUUUGUUAAAUAUGAGAAGACCAUUUAAAAAUACAUAAGCUUUUAGAGAAAUUAAAAGAAUUUUAACCAGUUACUACCCAGAAUAUAAGAAACUAAAUAAAACAAAAGAAAACCCCCACAGAUUAGCUUACUUAAUUACCUUAAUAUAUAGCAAUGAAACAAAACUAAUAAUUCUUUUAAAAUCUAGAAGAAUGAGAUGCAUACCACCUAAUUAUGAUAAAAUCGAAUUUCGGUAUCCACCAAAAUAUUAUAAAUAUUGUACGGGUGAAUAACAUAACAAAAUCACAAAAAUAUAAAGAACUAAAAUAAAUAAUAUCUAAAAAACGAAAAGAAUUAAAAAUAAGAAAAGAAAGACUACAAUAUAACAUGAUUGUUGGAGUAUGCCAAAAAUCAAUAAAAGCACAAAAGGAAGAAAUAUCAUAUUUAGAAUCAUAAAUAGAUAAUCUAGAAUACAUAUAUCAACAUGAUCUAUACACUAUCAAGUAGAUAAAAUGAACAAAGAAGAAUUUAUAAUAGAUGAAAAAACAUAUGAAAACCAUGAAGGAUUAAAAAUAAGAAUAGUAUUUUCUAAUUUAGGAAGAAGAUAUAUCUAAAUAGGUGAACAUUUAUAUUUAAAUGUUAUAAAAAAAAGAAUUAAAAUUAGAAGAUAAAUUAACAGCUAUGGUAAGAAUAGCAAGAGAAAAUGAAGAAAUAGACAGGAAAAAGGAAAUAGAUAAAAUAAAAUAACAGACUACAGAAGAAAUACGAAAAAUAGAAGAAACUAAAAAUAAUAGGAUUGCUAAAUUAGAAAAAGAA
Molecule: long non-coding RNA, 1591 nt
Filed under: Capsicum annuum
Lineage: Eukaryota; Viridiplantae; Streptophyta; Magnoliopsida; Solanales; Solanaceae
Description: long non-coding RNA (CANN_LNC018628)
Source: RNAcentral